This 546-nucleotide ribosomal RNA is filed under the name fungal endophyte sp. P1903A. RNAcentral's name for it is "eukaryotic LSU rRNA". The stretch from base 190 to 343 matches the Rfam family "5.8S ribosomal RNA". Lineage: Eukaryota; Fungi. The record is from RNAcentral.
GCGGAGGGAUCAUUGCUGGAACGCGCUUCGGCGCACCCAGAAACCCUUUGUGAACUUAUACCUUACUGUUGCCUCGGCGCAGGCCGGCCCCUCCACCGGGGCCCCUCGGAGACGAGGAGCAGCCCGCCGGCGGCCAACCAAACUCUUGUUUCUUAGUGAAUCUCUGAGUAAAAAACAUAAAUGAAUCAAAACUUUCAACAACGGAUCUCUUGGUUCUGGCAUCGAUGAAGAACGCAGCGAAAUGCGAUAAGUAAUGUGAAUUGCAGAAUUCAGUGAAUCAUCGAAUCUUUGAACGCACAUUGCGCCCUCUGGUAUUCCGGAGGGCAUGCCUGUUCGAGCGUCAUUUCAACCCUCAAGCCUGGCUUGGUGUUGGGGCACUGCUUCGAGAGGAGCAGGCCCUGAAAUCUAGUGGCGAGCUCGCCAGGACCCCGAGCGUAGUAGUUAUAUCUCGUUCUGGAAGGCCCUGGCGGUGCCCUGCCGUUAAACCCCCAACUUCUGAAAUUUUGACCUCGGAUCAGGUAGGAAUACCCGCUGAACUUAAGCAUA